AUUGAACGCUAGCGGGAUGCCUUACACAUGCAAGUCGAACGGCAGCGCGGACUUCGGUCUGGCGGCGAGUGGCGAACGGGUGAGUAAUGUAUCGGAACGUGCCCAGUAGCGGGGGACAACCACUCGAAAGAGUGGCUAAUACCGCAUACGCCCUACGGGGGAAAGGGGGGAUCGCAAGACCUCUCACUAUUGGAGCGGCCGAUAUCGGAUUAGCUAGUUGGUGGGGUAAAGGCCUACCAAGGCGACGAUCCGUAGCUGGUUUGAGAGGACGACCAGCCACACUGGGACUGAGACACGGCCCAGACCCCUACGGGAGGCAGCAGUGGGGAAUUUUGGACAAUGGGGGAAACCCUGAUCCAGCCAUUCCGCGUGUGCGAUGAAGGCC
This 385-nucleotide ribosomal RNA is filed under the name uncultured bacterium. RNAcentral's name for it is "bacterial SSU rRNA". It matches the Rfam family "Bacterial small subunit ribosomal RNA", at positions 29 to 416 of the family's 1533-position model. The record is from RNAcentral.